AGAGUUUGAUCAUGGCUCAGGACGAACGCUGGCGGCGUGCUUAACACAUGCAAGUCGAACGGAAAGGCCCUUCGGGGUACUCGAGUGGCGAACGGGUGAGUAACACGUGGGUGAUCUGCCCUGCACUUUGGGAUAAGCCUGGGAAACUGGGUCUAAUACCGAAUAUGACCACGCUCUUCAUGGGGUGUGGUGGAAAGCUUUUGCGGUGUGGGAUGGGCCCGCGGCCUAUCAGCUUGUUGGUGGGGUGAUGGCCUACCAAGGCGACGACGGGUAGCCGGCCUGAGAGGGUGACCGGCCACACUGGGACUGAGAUACGGCCCAGACUCCUACGGGAGGCAGCAGUGGGGAAUAUUGCACAAUGGGCGCAAGCCUGAUGCAGCGACGCCGCGUGAGGGAUGACGGCCUUCGGGUUGUAAACCUCUUUCAGCACAGACGAAGCGCGAGUGACGGUAUGCGCAGAAGAAGGACCGGCCAACUACGUGCCAGCAGCCGCGGUAAUACGUAGGGUCCGAGCGUUGUCCGGAAUUACUGGGCGUAAAGAGCUCGUAGGUGGUUUGUCGCGUUGUUCGUGAAAACUCACAGCUUAACUGUGGGCGUGCGGGCGAUACGGGCAGACUGGAGUACUGCAGGGGAGACUGGAAUUCCUGGUGUAGCGGUGGAAUGCGCAGAUAUCAGGAGGAACACCGGUGGCGAAGGCGGGUCUCUGGGCAGUAACUGACGCUGAGGAGCGAAAGCGUGGGGAGCGAACAGGAUUAGAUACCCUGGUAGUCCAA
This 773-nucleotide ribosomal RNA is filed under the name uncultured bacterium. Its description in RNAcentral is "bacterial SSU rRNA". It matches the Rfam family "Bacterial small subunit ribosomal RNA", at positions 8 to 798 of the family's 1533-position model. The record is from RNAcentral.